This 2427-nucleotide long non-coding RNA is filed under the name Mus musculus (house mouse). RNAcentral describes it as "long non-coding RNA chr4:139204366-139206793". The record is from RNAcentral. Lineage: Eukaryota; Metazoa; Chordata; Mammalia; Rodentia; Muridae.
UAUACACAUUGUCUAGCUGUGUGUGUAUGUGUGUGCCCAUGAGCAUGUGCGUGAGCAUUUGUGUGUGUGUGUGUGUGUGUGUGUGUGUGUGUGUGUGAUGCCUGUUCUGUAGGCUGUCAUGUGGCCUUCAAAGUGUAGGGUGUGAAGAGCACGUAGUAUUAUGACAUGUUCAUGGCAGCCCUGGAGAAGGCAUCAAAGCCAGUAUUCUGUCAGAGGGGUCAUGUGAUUAAUAGGUGAGGUUUAUUAUCUCUUUCCUGUGCUGUGGUUGCCCCCUGUUGUCUUUCCUUAGGGAAGUCCCCAGGAGUGAAACUGUAGGGCAAAAAGGACCAGCACGCCCCCCCCCCCCAGUUUCUUCUGGCCCCACAGCCCACUGAGUGUCCUAGUGGACUCUGCAUGGCUGCUGUUCUUUGGGGCCCUAUGAGCAAUGUAGUUCUGCCUGCCUAGAGCAAGCUUCAUUUCCUCCAUGUGACGUGGUCUGCAAGUUGAGAUGGCCUCCUUUCUGCAGGGUCAGCCCUCAUGGUUUCUCCUGUCUCUUUGCCAGAGCUGUUGCUUAUUGGUUUUUCUUUAAAAUGGUUUCAUUUGGGGGUGGGUGGGUGUUGGGGCUCUAACCUUGGGCUGUUUCUCAUGCUAGGCAUGUGUCCUGCCACUGAGCUAUGCCCUCCAGGCCUGGUCAUAAUCUUUUUUAUCAUCUGCUUAGUAUGUACAUUGUUGUGGUGACUUGAGCAGGCUGUCUCCCUCAAGUGUCUGGCAUGCCCUGUUGGUGGCUAUUUGGGGAGUACUAGGAGGUGUGGCUAGCUGGAGGAAGUGUAUCACUGGAGCCUGGUUUUGGGGGGUUCAGAUACUCUAAACCCUGAGUUAGCUCUCUAUGCCUCCAGCUGUGGUUCCAGAUGUGAGCUGUCGGCUGCCGCUUCAGCUGCCUGCCUCCUGCUCAGCCAUCUCAGACUCUAACCUUCUACAACCAGAAGCCCAAAUAAACCCUUCUUUGUAAGUCACCUUGGUUAUGGGAUUUUAUCAUAGCAAUAGGAAAGGAACUGACAUAUGCUGAGUUUUUUUGUGUAAGGUUCUCAGUAAGUGUUACUAGUGAAUUGAUUGGUAAUGGCACUCAGUAGUAUGGUUUCAUGGCCUUUGUGUGCUUAGGGACUUCAAUACUAGCAAUAUUUUUAAAUGGGCAACUCAGCAAAGCAUGCACAAGUGAGGAAAUACCCCACAGAAGCUAUGAGAGGGGCCAUUUGUUUACAGCAGAUGCUACAGCAGGGACGUAGAACUAACAAACUCUCUCUCUGUCUCUCUGUCUCUCUUUCUCUCUCUUGUCAUUAUUUCCUAAAUAAUGCAAUAACCAUUUACAUGUAAUUUUUGUUACAGUAAGUAUUAUAAGCAAUCUAGAGUUGAUAUAAACUGUCCAGGUGGGGGCCAGGUGAGGUGGUGCACAUCUAUAAUCCCAGUACUCAGGAGGUAGAGGCAGGGGCUCUGGAGUUCAGGGCCAGCCUUAGUUAUAUAUCAAGUUCAAGACUGGACUGGGCUACACAAGAACUUGUCAUAAGAAAAGUCAAACAAAAGCCAGGACGAGGGGCUCAGUGAUUAAGAGCACUUACUGCUCUACCAGAGGGGGUCAGAUGGAGUUCAGAUCUCAAGUCCACACUGGGUGACUCCGAAUGCCUUUAACUCCAGCUUCAAAGGAUCUGACGCCCUCUUCUGGCCUCCACGAGUAUUGGAGAACACAUGCACAGACAUACACAUUUUACAAACAAAACAAAAUCCAAGUUCAGGGCCAGCCUGAUCUCCAUAGUGAGCUCCAGGACAGCAGGGCUACACAGAGAAACUCUGUCUUGAAAACCAAAAACCAAACAAAAAUAAAAAUGAGAGUGGACAUGCGGGGUCUGUGCCUGCGGCGCCUGUUGGAUGUAUAUAUGUGACUAGUCUGCUUAGAUCAUGCUUUGCACAAAAGCAACUUAAGGAACAUUUAUUUGGGUUGGGGGCCCACAGUGUUGGGGAGCAGAGAGCGGGCAGGAUGCAUCUUUAUUCACACAGGAAGCAGAAUGUGAACAACCAGUCAGGAGAGCUAUAAACUGUCAAAGCUGGCCCCACAGUGACAUGCCUUCUCCAGCAAGGCUGCACCUUCUUAGAGUUUCACAGCCUCCCCAGACAGUACCGCCAGCCAGGGACCAAGUGUUCAGUACAUGAGCCUGUGGGGGCUACUUCUCAUUCAGAUCACCGCAGGUGGGGAGGUGGGUGGUUCAGUACCCAACCCUCUUGGAUACCAAAGGACCAACUGUACUGAUUUUGGAGAGUUAAAAAUAAGUCUCAAAGCAACUGUGGUGGUGCCUGGAGCUAACCCUGGCACCCAGUAGAUUAAGCAGCGGAGCAGUAGGGGUUCAAGACCAUCCUUAGCUACAUGGUGAGUAGCUUGGGCUUCAUGAGCCCCAACGU